Non-coding RNA from Danio rerio (zebrafish), 295 nucleotides. The record is from RefSeq and is a predicted model, not a curated record. NCBI's taxonomy places the organism in Eukaryota, Metazoa, Chordata, Actinopteri, Cypriniformes, Danionidae.
UUCCAGUAGCAACGCAGUGGCACAGUAGGUAGUGCUGUCACCUCACAGCAAGAAGGUUGCUGGUUUGAGCCUCGGCUGGGUCAGUUGGCUGAAUACAAUGACAUCACACUUGCUCACACGAGCUCAGAUUGUGAUGGACCUGGAAUGUGACAUCAGUUACUCUUAAGUCAGGAACCAAAUAAAGCACAGAUGUGGAGGGAUCUGCAACUAAACUAACUGGAGGAAAGGAACCUUUAGUGUGGGUGAACAUACUACCUUGAUGUCCAACAAAGGCUGCACAAGAGCUCAUUUGAUG